CUCUCUCUCUCUCUCUCUCUCUCUCUCUCACUCUCUCUCUCUCUCUCUCUCUAAACCACCGUGAACAACCACCCAAUCCACCACUAAUCCUGAUCAAACUCCACCUCACAACCACCAUAUUUUCUAUAGGUGACUUGAGGAUCACGAGAAUGGUCUUGCAUGUGAGAAUCAGAAUUGGGGAAAAGAGAAACUCAUUCACCGAGGCUCUACGACAUGCUCGAGUUUGAACCCGACGAAUUCGAGGUCAAACAAGCUUGAAUUUGAUUCUACUUAAUGUCAGCAAGUGACGGCACAAGGUCACUGAGGCAAUGCGUGGCAAUGUGUGAUAGUAUGUGCAGCGUGUGGCAACACGUGGGGACCCGAGACCCAAUCAAAGGUUAUUUGAAUUUCCGAAUCACGUGGUGGACUCUGUUUUUGCUAAAUUGGAGUGGUUUACCACAUUUGAAUUAGAGAUCUUUAGAAUUUACUUAGUUAAGUGCUAAAACAAUGUUUUUAAGGUGCAAGCUUGAGUAGCCUAGAUAAAAACAUGACACCUAUUGAAGAGAAAAAUUCAGAAUUUCUUUGAGUGGAUGAGACUAAUAUUGAAAUGACUAGAUGAUCAUAUGAUUGACUUGUUUAUAUU
Molecule: long non-coding RNA, 622 nt
Organism: Pyrus x bretschneideri (Chinese white pear)
Lineage: Eukaryota; Viridiplantae; Streptophyta; Magnoliopsida; Rosales; Rosaceae
Exons: 2
Source: RefSeq, a predicted model, not a curated record